UUUCUGUCAAGUUAUAACAACUGACAUAGGUAGUGAUGGAGCAGUAGGCAAUUGCAGUACGGGUUUCAUUCCACGAGGAGCUGACUUUUUGAGUUGCGAAACAUGAAACACAGGAUGGAUGCUCGAGUCUGCUGAUAACUUGAGCUUAUAAGUAAUAGCUCUCACCUUAUCUUUAAUGCAAAAAAGGACCAUAGUAGAGAGAAGAAAGCUUAUAAUUCACCUAAUGAAUCACACUUUAUUGCCUAUAGGGUUGUAGCUUCACAUUGACCUAAUGACCAAUGUUGAAUGUCGUUUCUAUGCGAUGGAAAUCAACUCGUUAUUUCAUACGAUUCUGAGCCUUAAGCAAGUGGUGCUUCAUAAUAUGUAGGUCCAACUCCCUAUCCUUUAAGCACUGAUCCAUAGUAGUAAUUGAAGAGUCCCUUGGAAAAUAGGGAAUAUACAAUGGUAGAGGAACUCCAUAUACAAUUUCAAGUGAAGUAGUCUCAGUUAUUGAGUGAUAGUUGGUAUGAUACCAUCAUUCAGCUCGGGGAAGCCAUUUCACCUACUGCUUGGGAUUCUCUUUAAUCAUACACCUCAUGUAUGACUCAAGACAUCUGUUGACAACCUCAGUUUGUCCAUCUGUCUGAGUCUGAUAGGCAGUGGACGUGCAUAAUUCUGCUUCUUGUAAUCUAAACGAUUCAUUGCAAAAUGAGAUGACAAAGAUAAGAUCUCUAUCACUGACAAUCGAAGAUGGUAGCCCAUGUACCUUGUAAAUGUUGUCUAAGAAGAGCUGAGCAACAUUAAAAGUUGUAUAAGGAUGGCUCAGGAAAUGGGUAUACUUACUAAGUCUGUCCACUACCACCAGAAUCACUUCUUUACCUCCUGAUUUAGGCAACCCUUCUAUAAAAUCCAUGCUGAUGUCAAACCAGAUGGUCUCAAAUAUUGGCAAAGGUUGUAAUAGUCCUGGAAUGCUAACAUUCUCAGGUUUGCAAGUGUUGUAAAGAUUGCAACUUUUUACAUAAUUUCUAAUAUAUUUUUCCAUGCCUUUCCAAUAAAAGAGUAAAUGUAACCUCUUAAAAGUGGCUUGCACCCCAAAAUGGCCACCAUCAGGUGAGUCAUGCAAGAGCUGCAGUAGCUUAUGUCUUAUUCUCACUUUUUAAGCUUUGAAUACAAGAAUUAAACGCUCAACUACCUAAAAAUUCACUUUCAAGCUUGAAUCUUUUAAUACAAAUAGUAAAGAUAAAAAUUUUGAGUUGUUGAGUGUAAAUGCACAGAUGGGGGCUCAAAGCAAAUGCUCUUGCUUGACCUAGAACCAUUAAAAAUGAUGUUUAAAUAGUUCUAGGUGAAAAAGAGUCGUUGCAUCCUCAUUAAAUGUGAAAAUAGUCGUUUCUACAACUGUCAUAAAUGCAGCUUCACGGGCGCGAACAAUCUUUCACGGCCAUAAAUCAUCAGUGUGAAAAGCAGAUUUUAAAAGCUGAAAACCGUAACGGCCGUGAGUUAUUUUUCACUGGCGUAAAAGUUACUUUCACGGCUUGGAAACAUUAGUCGCUAACUCUUCUAUGAUUAAUUGAGAAUCUGGAGAGUAGUUCAAUAUUUACGGGCGUGAACAUCUUCUUUACGGGCAUGAACAUCUUUUUCACGGCUUGAGAACCUUUCCCGCGAAUCAUUAUGUGAAAGUUUUAAGGAGGAGACCAUUUUUCACGGGAGUGGGUUAUUGUUCAAGGUUGGAAACUUUCUCCGUGAAUCCUUCUGUGAUGUCUUUUAUUCUUUAGGAGAAAAUCCUUUUUCAUGGCCAUGAAUAUUUCUUUUCGGCUGUGAAUUCUCACUUUUACGGCUAUGAAGCAUCCCGUGAAUGCUACUGUCCUUUUGCUACUCGAGGCGAGAAUUCUCCAUGCCUGAGAAACUAGUGUUUCACGGGCAUGAAUCUACCGUGUCCUAGACAAACCAAUUUUUCUUUCCUUGCAUAUAAACACUUAGACAUAGGAUUAGUCAUUCUCAAUUGUUUAUAACCAUCAAAAUAGAAUUAAUAACCCUCAAGGUUCAACAAAGUGGUUUCUUCUUAAUAGAGUUAUUUCUUCUUACACUGUUGCCCUGGUGUAAACUUCUCAUUACACCAAAAGCAUAGAUUCUUAGCUCGUUUCUCAUUCUUUUUUUGCAUUUGUCAACCUCUUGGUUCUUAGUUGAAAAGGUUUCAUGUGGUUUUUCUAUGGAGGUCUAGUUAUGGUGGCAGGAAAUGGUGAGUUGGUUGGCUUAAUGUGCAUGGUAGAAAUUGGUAACAAAGGAGGUAAAGUGGCUUUAUUUUGAGUUGAAAGCUGGAAAAUAGAUGGAGUGCUAGGGGUUUUAUUAUAGUAUGAUAUGUUGGUUGGGUAGCAAUGAGAUAGGACUCUUGCAUUUGAGCAACAACAUAGGCUUAUUGCAAGGUUUUGGGCCCAAACAUCCUCAAUGGAAUACGUACCUCAUCUCUCAAUCCACUGAGGAAGCAACUUAGAACAUACUCUUCAGAGAGAGUAACCUUAUGUGAGAGGACAUUAAAUUUCUCUAAGUACUCCUGCAAAGACCCUAUCUAAGUUAAAUCCUUUAGGUUUUCCAUGGGGUCUUUAUAGAUCCUUUCUCCAAAUUGACCGCUAAGAGCUUCAAUGUACUCCUCCUAUUGAGAUUCAUCUAUCUUAUUUUUGUUCUUCAAGUAUGAUUGAUGUCGUUGCCCUCCAUAUGGAUAGCAACAAGCUUAACCUUCGCAUUAGCGAGGGUAAAAUUAAUCUAGAAAAAAUGGUCAUAUCUGAACAACCAUCCUUCCAAAUUAGAACUAUCAAACUUAGGGUAUUAUGAUUGGAAAGAAUGAUUAUCUUUUCUCAUUCAAACAAGGAAUAUAAAUAUACAAGAUUCUAACGGCUAGUUACAACAGCUAUAAACAAUCAAGGCUAAAACUAAGGAAUGAAAAUGGUAAUAUAUAAGCUGUAAAUGGUAAUAGAAUAAUCAAAAGGAUAGACAAAUAUAUACACCUAAUACUCCCCCUCAAACUGGAGCAUGUAAGUUAAGGAUGCCCAGCUUAGUAUGAAGUUUAAGGAAUUGGUCUUUAUUUAAGGCUUUUGUAAAGAUAUCAGCAAUUUGAUCAUUAGUGGAGAUAGGAUGAAGUUUGAGUUGUCCUUUUUGAAGCUUUUCAUGAACGAUGUGGCAAUCGAUUUCAAUAUGUUUUGUUCGUUCGUGGAAAACUGAAUUUGCAGCAAUAUGACAAGCAGCCUGGUUAUCACAACAAAGCAUAGUGUUGGCUGAAAGGACAAUGCCAAGAUCCUGAAGUAAUGUGUGAAGCCAUACAAUUUCUCGAGUUUUCAUAGCCAUGGCACGAUAUUCAGCUUUAGUUGAGGAGUCAGAGACAGUUGAUUGUUUCUUACUUCGCCAUGAUAUAAGACUAGAGCCAAGAAAGAUGCAAAAUCCGGUAGUAGAGCGUCGUGUCAUGGGACAACUUGCCCAAUCAGAAUCACUAUAAGUUGUAAGAUGUAAAGAGCUGUUAGAAGAUAAAAGAAUCCCUUGACCCGGUAUUUUUUUGAGAUAUCGUAAUAGGCGAUGAGUAACAUCUAUGUGAGGUUUGCGAGGUUCAUGCAUAAAUUGACUUAAAACAUUGACCGUAAAGGUGAUGUUCGGCCUUGUAAUAGUAAGAUAUAUGAGUCGACCAAUAAGGCGUCUAUAGAGUGAUGGGUCUUCUAGUAGGUGACCAUCUUUGUUAUUAAGUUUGAGAUGUUGUUCCAUAGGAGUGUCGGCAAUAUGAGCACCGGUGAGGCCACAAUCAUGAAGUAAAUCAACCACAUAUUUCCUUUGGCUUAAAUAGAUGCCUAUUGGUGAGCGAGCAACUUCAAUUCCGAGAGAAUAUUUAAGGAGACCCAAAUCUUUAAUCCAAAACUGACUGAAGAGGAAAUGCUUAAGCUCAAUAAUUGCAUUAGAAUUAUUUCCUGUAAUAAUAAUGUCAUCAACAUAAACUAAAAUAAAAAGAGAUAAAGGCCCUUGUCUUAAGAUAAAAAGAGAGUGAUCAGCAUGAGAUUAAGAGAAGCCAAUAGAAAUUAAGGCAAUAGAAAAUUUAGCAAACCAGUUUUGAGGGGCUUGUUUGAGGCCAUAAAGAGAUCUGUUAAGUUUGCAAACAAUAUUUUUCUGCCCCUUACGUGGAUGUCCAGGAGGUAAUAACAUGUAUAUAUCUUCUUGUAAAUCACCAUGUAAAAAGGCAUUUUGAACAUCAAAUUGAUAUAAUGGCCAUCUUUUGAUCGCUGCUAUUGCCAAUAAGGUUCGAACUGUUACCAAUUUAGCAAUAGGGGCGAAAGUCUCAUGAUAAUCGAUGCCUUCAGUUUGAGUAUAUCAUUUAGCAACGAGGCGUGCUUUAUAGCGCUCUAUACUACCAUUAGAAUGUCUUUUGAUCUCGUAGACCCAUUUAUAACCAAUCGGUGUUUGGUUGAUUGGUAAAGGAACCAAAGACCAAGUAUUAGAAUGUUCCAAUGCUCGGAGCUCAAUUUCAUUAACUUUUGCCAUUCAGGUACUUGCACAGCUUGAGAGAAAGUAGUGGGUUCCAUAAUAGAAGAUAAAGAACUAAGAAAAGUGUAAUGAGAUUUUCAAAAUCUGUUAUAGGAAAGAAAAUUAUGUAAAGAAUAUUUGGUGUUCGAUGGAGGUGACUGGGCAUUAUAGCAGUAAUAAUCAUUAAAUUUUUUAGGUAGUAUUAUAGUUCUUCAUGGGCGACCAGUUCCAGUUUGCAUUGUAUGAGAAAUAGAAUCAACAAAAGAAAUAUUUUCGGGCUCUGUUAUGGAGCUAGAAUAAAAAAUGAUUGGUGAAAAAGAUUUAUUGGGUUGGGCAUCUGGUGGUGAUUGAAUUAUUAGAUAAGGAUUAAAAUCUUGGACUGCUACUGGUACAAUUGAAGUAUUAUUGGUAUCAAAUAUUUUAGAAGGAAAUGCACUUUCAUGAAAAACAACAUUAUGACUUACAUAAAUUCUUUGUGUUUGAAUAUCAAAAAUUUUAUAACCUUUUUGAGCAAAUGGAUAUCCAAUAAAUAUGCUAGGAAGAGCUCGACUGUCAAACUUAUGAUGACCAUUAGUAUUACGAGCAUAACAUAAACAACCAAAAAUGCGCAAAUGUUUAUAAGUGGGUAAUUUAUUAAGUAAUAACUCAUGUGGUGCUUUUCCAUGGAGCGUUUGUGAAGGAGUUUGAUUAAUUAAAUAAGCUGCAGUAAGGAUACACUCACCCCAAAAAUUUAAUGGUAAGUUAGCUUGAAACGAAGAGCAUGUGCAACAUUAAGCAAAUGACAAUGUUUGUGCUCCACCACCCCAUUUUAUUGAGGUGUGUGAGCACAACUAUGCUGAUGAAUAACACCAAGUGAAGCAAAAAAAGUAUUAAAAAAUUCAAGACUAUUAUCACUACGUACUUGCUUAAAAUAAACACCAAAUUGAGUAUUAACCAUUGAAAAAAAAUUUUGAAGAUAUGAAAAGGCCUGAGGUUUUUGCUACAUUAAAUAAACCCAUGUAGCACGAGAAAAAUUAUCUAUUAUAGUUAAAAAAUAUCGUGCACCAGUAAUUGUAGGUGUUGAGAAAGGUCCCCAAACAUCAAUAUGAACCAAAUCAAAAUAAGCAUUAUAUUUAGUAUUACUAUUAGAGAAAGGUAAACGACAUUGUUUAGAUAAAGGACAAUAGUGCAUGGAUUUUUAUUAGAAAAAGAAAUAUCAUAAUCUAAAUUUAAAAACAUAGGUAAAGUACUAGAACUUGGAUGACCAAGACGCCAAUGCCAUAGAUCCACAUGAUGAGGAACAGUAGCAAAAGAGGUAACAUGUGCAGGCUGAAUAUUGAGAUAAUAAAGACCAUUAUACUCUCUACCCAUUCCAAUCACUUUCUUCAUUUGUAGGUCCUAACAUACACGAUAGUUAGAGAAAAAUUGAACGACACAAUUUAGGUCCUUGGUAAUUUUCUUAACAGAUAGUAAAUUGAAUUUAAAAGAAGGAACACAUAAAACGUCUUUUAAUAUUAUAUCAUUUGUAAUAUUUCGUGAGCCAAUAUGUGAUAUUGACACUUUUUCACCAUUCGGUAAUGUUAUAGGUAAACCCUUACGAGUUUUUAUAUCAUUUAAAGUGUUCAAAUCAUAGGUCAAUAUGAUCUAUACAUCCAAAAUCUAUAACCCAAUUAUCAUAUUUGGAGGGUAAAUUUAAAGUCAUACCAGCGAAGUUGACAAGAGGAGUAGCAGCACUUGGCUGGAUUAGAGCAAGAAGUUGUUGAAUUUGGUAUUGGGUAAAUGGUAGGACUGAUCCACUUGUGGUGGUUUCAACGGCAGCAGUAUCACGUUUUGUGUGAUUUCCGCCUUGACGAAAAUUUGGAUUUCUUGGUUUCUUGCGGCACCUUGAUUCUGAAUGGCCAUCGAAUCCACAAUAAUCACAGUGAUAUUAGACUCCAUCUUGACGAAAAUUUGGAUUCCUAGGUUUCUUACGGCAUUGUGAUUCGAAAUGGCCAUCGAGUCCACAGUAAUCACAAUGGUAUUUCGGUUUUCCACGUGAUUUAUUUUGAAAGACAGCCAAGGCUGAUUGAUCUUGAUGAACAAUAGGAUUGAUUAUGAGGAUUGAUCUUUGUCUUUCUUCCUGCAAUAAAAGAAAGUAAGCUCUAGAAAUAAGAGGUAGUGGAUUCAUGAGGAGAAUUUGACUUCGAACAUUAUUAUAUGAUUCAUUAAGACCCAUAAGAAAUUGAAUUAGACGGUCUCUUUGUUAGAGUUUAUUGGUCUCUUGACCAUUCCCACCUGUACAUGUAGGAUAAUUAUUGUAGGUAGAGAGCUCAUCCCACAAUCCCUUAAGGGUUGUCUAAUAUGCAGCAAUUGAGUCAUUCAUUUGCGUAUGGUUAACAAUGGUCCGUUGAAUUUCAAAUAUGCGUGGUGCAUUUUCUUAAGAGAAUUUGUCAUGAAGAUCAUUCCGAACUUCACUAGUUGUCUUCAUGUAAAUGACACUGUUGGCUAUGUCUCUUGUUACAGCAUUAAAAAGCCAUGAAAGAACCAUGUUGUUACAGCGGUUCCAAUAAGAAAAGAUAUGAGAGUUUUGAGCUAGUUUGUUAAUGGUUCCAUUAACAAAACCAAGUUUAUUCUUGGCUUCAAGAGCCAUAGUAAUUGCACGACUCCAUGUAGAGUAGUUAUCACCAUUCAAUUGUUGGGUGAUUUGUAUGGUUCCUGGAUUAUCUGAAUGAUGUAUGAAAUAUGGAGAUGAAAAAUCAGAUUCUGUUAUGGAUGUAGAACUAUUGGAAAUAAAUGAACUGAUAGAAUCAUUUGUCUCCAUUGUUGGAGGCUCCAAUACCAUAUUAUGAUUGGAGAGAAUAAUUAUCUUUUCUCAUUUAAACAAGGAAUAUAAAUGUAAAAAAUUCUAACGGCUAGUUACAACAGCUAUAAACAAUCAAGGCUAAAACUAAGAAAUGAAAAUGAUAAUAUACAAAUUGUAAAUGGUAAUAAAAUAAUUAAAGGGAUAGACAAAUAUAUACAGCUAAUAUAGGGAUGGGGAACCCAGUAGCUGGUUGGUAGCUACUGUUCUGGUUACUAAGGUUGCUUUGGCUCAAAUCAACAAAGGGGUGUGAUGGGUUGGAGGAGGAGUCAUGAUUAGCAGUUCCACCAGGGGAAGAAGAGGUGGACAUUGGGUUUUCUAGAUUCAUGGUUAAUAAGAAGUUCUUAAGCUCACUUAACAUAGCUUUUUGCUGCUUAUUCAUCAUCUUUGCAAGGGAUUGCUCUUACUGCUUGUUAUGCUCAAGCAGCAUCCCCUUCACCAUGUUACAAAUGUUUUCCUCAAGUUUUUUCAUCUUUGUGAUCGUGUAUUGUCUGCAGCAGACAUGGUGAAUGAUUUUUCGAUUUAUUGGGAGCAAGGGAGUGAAUGAAUGGAGUAGGAUCAAAACUGCUCUAGUGCCAAAUGGUGCCUUAGAAAUUAGAGAAGAACCGGAGAAAGAAAUCGAGAGAAGUAAAGAGAGAAAACUAGAGAGAAAAAAGAAAUUCGCAUUAACAUACUUCAUACACAUUGAUGGAUAGGAACCUGCAAUAUACUGCAGGCACGAUCCCAAAGCCAGCCCAUCAUUAUUGGUAUAAUAGAAUUGUAACGGGAACAAAAAGAAUAACAAAUAAUGCUAACAACCCUACACGUGUUUCCUAGUGCUACAACUAGACAACUAAUUUUACUAAACAACAAUGAGCUUAAUUACCAAGUAUCACCGAUCUAUUAUUUUUUAGAUGUAGUUAUUAUUAUUUUGAUUAUAAAAUAAAUUUAAUAAAUAUAAUUUAAUAAAAUUUUUAAUAUUUAAUAUUAUUUUAUAAAGUUUUAAAAAAUAAUAGUAAACUAAUUAUUUUUUAAUUUUUUUAAUUUUUUUGUAUUAAUAAUAAUAAAUAUUAAAAUUAUUUUAAAAUUAAUUUAUUAAUUAAUUUUUAAUAUUAUGUAAUUUAACAUAUCAAUAUAAUUGAUAUCACUAUUUUUUAAAAUUAAAAAUUUAUUAUAUAAUUAAAUAUAAUAUUAAAAAUAUUAUUUUUUAGUAUUAGAAUUAUUUUUUAAUUAUAAAAUUAAUUUAUUAAUUAAUGUAAUAUUAAAAUAUAACUAAUAUACUACUUUUUAGAAUAGAAUUUUUAUUAUUAUCUCAUUAGAAAACUAUUUAUUAGUUAAUGUAAUAUUAGAAUAUAAUUAAUAUGCUAGUUUUUAAGAUUCGAGUCGGUGGUUAAUUAAGAAUAUAAAUUAUGAAUCAAUAAUUUAAUAAAAAAUUAUAAAAUAAAUAUAAACUUGAAUCUCAUGUUUGAACGCAAGUAAAAAUGUCAAAAUAAAAAUUUUAUGUAUCAAAAAUUUAAGUAUACAUGUCAAAAAAAAUUUAAGUAUCAAGAAUUAAUAUAUAUAUAUAUAUAUAUAUAUAUAUAUAUAUAUAUAUAUAUAUAUAUAUAUAUAUAUAUAUAUAUAUAUAUUAUUCAAUAUUAAUAUUAAUAAAAUNNNAAAAAUAUUAUUUAAGAUAUUAUUUUUUUAGAAUUACAAUCAUCUAUCUACAAAAAUAAUUUAUGAGCUAAUAUAAUAUUAAAAUAUAAUUAAUGUACUAUUUAUUUGUAUAGAAUUAAUAUAAUUAUUUGAUUAGAAAACUAUUUAUUAAUUAAUAUAAUAGAAAAAUAUAAUUAAUAUGUUAUUUCUUAGAAUAUUAGAGUAAAUGUUUAAUUAGGAAUGUAACUUAUGAAUAAAUAAAUUAAUAGAAAAAUUAUGAAAUUACAUAUAAAUCUGAAUCCUAUGUGUCAAAAGUAAGUACAUAUGUCAAAAUAAAACUUGUGUAUUAAAAGCAUAAAAAAUUAAUAUAUACUAGUUGUUUACCCGUGCGUUGCACGACCGUUAUUAUUAUUUUAAUUAUAAAAUUAAGUUUAUAGGUAAAUUUAAUAAUUUUUUUAUUUUUAAUAAUAUUUUAAAAAAUAAUAGCAAAUUACCUAUUUUUAAAUAUUUUAAUUCUUUUAAAAUUUUAUUAUAAUUUCUAAUUUAAAGUAUUUAUUUAUUUAAUCUAAUAUUAUAUAAAUUAAUAAUAUCAAUAUAAUUAAUAUUACUAUUUUUUAAAAUUAAUAAUUAUUAUAUAAUUAAUAAUUAAUUUAUCAAUGAAUAUAAUAUUUAAAAUAUUAUAAUCAUUAUCUAAUUAGAAAACUAAUUUACUAGUUAAUAUAAUAUUAAAUUAUAAUUAAUAUAUUAUUUUUAAAAUAAUUAUUAUCUAAUUAGAAAAUUAAUUAUUUUUUAAUUAAAAAAUUAAUUUAUUAUUAAUAUAUUAUUAAUAUAUUAUUUCUUAGAAUUAGAAUAAGUGUUUAACUAGAAGUGUAACUUAUUAGUUAAGAAGUUAAUAAGAAAAUUACAAAAUUACACAAAAACGUAAAUUUCAUGUUUCAAAAGUAAUUACACAUGUCAAGACAAUAAUUUUAUGUGUUAAAAAUUAAUGCAUAUAUAAAAUAAAUUUAAAUCUCAGAAAUAUAUAUAAUAAAUAGUUAUUGGUUUGAAAUUAGAUAGAAUUAUGAGAAUAUGUAAAAUUCUAAGUUGAUAAUGCCAAACAAGUAACAUCCAAUUCAUAAAUUGAAGGCAUUGAAUAAGAAGUGAAGUAGUCAAAUGAAUCAUCAGAUUUAUUGGUUUUCUUCAAUAGUCAAGCGUCUUAUAGAUCUCUGACAUAUUACAAAAAAAUAUAUAUAUGUGAAAGAAGAAAAAAAUAAGGGUAAUCUGACAACCUGAGAAAGGUUAUCCUCAUCCUCACAUAUUACAAAUUCACAACAGCUGAAAUGAGCAUGCGCCUAAAACCGACUCCUGACCCAAAACGAAUGAUAUUGCAAACAAUAGUGCGACGGAAACACAUCCAGGCAACAUUUCAGUUUCAAACAGAUUACAACUAUCGAUCAAAAUCACAUCUUUCCACCGCAUAUCAGACUAAUAAGCGUGUGCUCAACUGUAACUCUCUGGUUUUGCUAUGACAUCUCUUCUACCUCAAAAAGACGUCUGGUAUUCAAUACACUUCCAUAUAACAAACUAGCUCAUUAUCAUCGAUAGCCACCGCCGUAAGGCUGUUGAGUGUAACCACCUGUGCCCAUCAUUGGAUUAUAACCCCCAGGCAUGGUUGAACCAGGAGGUUGCAUUUGGCCACCCUGCCCCAUCCCCACAUUCAUCCCCAUGUUCAUCCCCAUCCCCAUCCCCAUUUGCAUCGCCAUGGGUUGAUUCAUGCCUCCAUACCCUCCCAUGGCCAUACCUGAACCAGGACCUCCUCCCAUCCCCAUUCCCAUAUUAUUCAUGCCUGCCCCCAUUCCCAUGCCAGAAUUCAUCAUAGGAUUUGGAGGAACCCUAAGACCACUUGCACCUGCUCGGCCUAUCCCUGAACCAGAUCCCAUAGCUUUACCCAUGUUGAUGGUUGAUGUGGCGGGAGCUGUUGUUGGUUUUUCCAUUCUCUUUUCCUUGCGAUUAAUGGCAUCAAAAUCUAUUCCAAUGUCCGACAAUGGAUUGAUUUUAGCUGCACAUAUGAAGCCCAUGAUGUUAAAUCUCUCAAGCAAGACAAAUUAAUAAUUAACUAAAGACCUUCAAAAACACAGUAUUGAAAUAAAAGACUGUCAAGUACUCACGUCCAGAGAUAUUCAAAUUGACUAGCCCUCUGCUCAGUGUAUCCGCCCAAACUGUCGACUUCGUCUCAAAUUUUUCUUUAGAUGGUUGUGGAACUAGAGCCAGUGGUCCUGCUGAAGAUGGAAUACCUGGCUGAGAAGUCGAGGAAGUUUUUGGUCCUUGUGUAAAUAGGUUACCCAGGACAUCAUUAUUAGGCUGAGUAGCAGAUCCAGUUGGGGUUUGAUAGCCAACUUGUGGAACUGGGGCAACAGAGCCCUGUUGUGGCAUGAAAUUUCCAUUGUUAAAAUGUGGAGUUGGUGCAGUUGCAAAAUGGUGAGCAGCUUGCAUGACCACUGGGGCAGUUGAUCCCUGCUGUGGGAGAAAGCUACCAUUGCUGAACUGCGGAUUUGGUCCUGUUGCAGUAUACUGUGCAGCCGGAACAGAGCCCUGAGUUGGGAGGAAGUUUGCGCCGUGAAACUGUGAAGCUGGGGCUGCAGAAACUUGUUGUGGAAGUAAGUUUCCAUUGUUAAAUUGUGUUCCGGGUCCAGCUGGAGUUUGUGGAGCCACAGCUGAAGAGAUAGGAGCUGUAGAUCCUCCAUGUGGGAGAAAGUUUCCACUGCUAAACUGUGCUGUCUGAGGGCCCAUAUUUGGAGAUACUGGUGCAACAGAUCCUGCCUGCAAAUUGUAGUUUCCAUAAAUAUUGGCUCCUGGCUCUGCCGGUUGACCAGCCAGAGCUGGAAAACCAGCUUGUGUAGCUACUACAGGUGAAGGCCCAGUUGUUGGGAGGAUGUCUGCCAGAAUAUCAGUUUCAUCGUGUGAGGUUGACAGUUCUUGUGGUAAAAACUGUGAAUUUGCUGAGGUUGGUUGGGCAUUAGGUGCUGAAUAAGUCAAGCCAGAGAAUGUGUCCCCAAAGCCAAAAUUAUUCACCGUGUCUUGUGGCACUGUGGGGGGGAUUUCAGCACUUUGACUGAGGGUAGGCUGAAGAGCAGCUCCAGAGGUAGAAGUAUGCUGUUGAGCUGACAUAGUACCGCUGGUGGAAGGAAUAGCCUUGAAAGGAGAGUCACCAAAUGGAUCUUCAAAAGGCUGCACCAAGAUAAUACUUCCAUUUUAACUGGUUCUAAUACACCAAAAUAAUCUUCUCAUGACAAAAAUAUGCAAAGUCAAAUUGGGAGGCAGAAUAGUGUUUCUCUGCUUUCUUUAGAUCAACAAAUAAAAAACCAGUAAAGGACAGAUAUAACAUGAAGACGAUAUGCAAGCAAGAUGGAUAUCAUCCUUAGUUAUUAUAAUGAGCCAAUCAAAAAGCAUAACAGCUGCAUCUAACCCUCACAAUAACAUAAUAGCACAUUAUUUGCACCUCAUAGAAAUGAAUAACAUCUCAAACUACCUAAAAAAUAAGUAUGACAUGUUGAAACCAUUAGCUCUCGUGAUGAGUCAAUGUCCAAUUUCAAUUGGCACUCAAAAAUACAGCAAAAUCUUCAAAACCUUGAAGUUGACACUUGAUGGAUCGAAUGAGACCCUACUGACCACCCAUAAACGGAUCUAACAUAUACAAAUAAGAAAAACAAAUAAUCUCAGGGCCCCUCAGGCCCUACUCACAUAAAUUUCAUCUAAGGUUAAAGAUAUAUAAAGAUGGAUUUUAAAUAUUAGCAUAUAAGCUUACCAUAUUCAUAACACUAGAUGGAGGCUGCGUUGCAGAAAAUGUGGAUCCAGGAAAGUUUGUCUGAGUGUCAACUUCAGAGGUGGCCACAGCGGAGACUGGCAUGAUGGCCAAUGGAUUUGCAGCAAAUGAAUCUGAUAGAGAGCCAAGUAAAUCCAUUUCAGCAUUGCUCGAGACAGUAGCAGCAGCAGAGGCAGCUGCAGUGGUGGGGCUAGCUGUGAAAAGAGAUUGAUAAAUAUGAAUUUCCAGUUGAGGUAGAUGUUUAUUACAAGAGCAUCAGCUACAAAGGCCCAUUUAGCUUCUUAAACUCUUUUUUUAAUAGAAAAGCAUCAAACACCACCUUAUCAUAACACUUAACACUCCACUGCAGUUGCUCAAAUCAGUACUUUCCUUCCAAUCCCCAACCAGCCAACCCAAACCCUGGCCAGAGGGUCUAUAAUAAUCAUGAAAACAAUAAUCAGGACAAUCAGACUUAAGGGCCAGUUUGGCAUUGUUGCAAGGGCACUCUGCUUUUGAUAUCUUUUAUUUAUUCUCUCUGGUUUUUGGAACCUACUUUUGGAAAAUUCAUGUUUACUUUGCUGCUUCUAGAAGUUGGAUUUCAAGAAAACCUACUACUGAGGCAAAAAGAACCUUGGCACAUGUGAGCUUUACAGAGGAAUAAUACAAGCCCCCCACUACUGUAGAAAGCAUGUAGCUUGGGAAUUUACAAACCAUUAGAGUCUUAAGUAAUUUUAUAUACAUUUUGGGCAAAGAUGGAAGAACUGGUCUUCAAAAACUGACAUGAAGGGAUGGCUUUGUAACAGCUUGGUUAUGAAGCUGUAAUAUUGAACUUACAUUGAACUACUAAAGACCAUUCUACAGUCAAUUAUCUAACGAGAUUUUUCUUUCUCAAUAUAGAAAAAUGUUGGAUGGUAAAACAGAAAAAAAGUUGUCUCAGUUUCUUAGAGGGUAAAAAUGCACAAAUGAUCUCUAAAUUUUGAGAGCAGUUGCAUCUCAGUUACUAAACUUCAAUUACUUGCAACUUCAUCCACAAUGUAAUCAUCAUGGUCAAAGUGACCAAAACUCAAGUAACAGCGAAUGACGAUCAACUUGAGUGAGCAACCUCACCAGAAAUGGUAAGGUCCAAUUCCUAGGCAGGUUAAAAACUUCAGGUUUUCAAGUAAGGUUAGUCACCAAACUGCUAGCAAAUUUAGCCUUGAUGACUACAUAGCAGCAAACAAACUUCAACUAUUUAAAAAUUGGAAGGAACCCAAAAUGGAGGACAAGGUGAAAUUACAUCCAAAGUUUAAUGGCCAGUUACUCAAAUACACAAAACUGUCAUAAUCGUAUAUGCAUUUGGUAAAGAAUGUAGGACUCCUUGCAAUUUCCCACAUUAGUGUUAGACACAACUCAUGUCACAAUAAAUCCAAUAUCCAAUGUCCUGGCCAAAAUUAGAGCACCACAGGCACUUAAGCCAUUUGAUAGGUUUGAUUCCACCAGGGCCAACAUACAGACAUGAUAGCACUCAACAUGUGCAUGAAAGACCACAAUACAUCUAUGCUUAGCAUUCCAUCUAAUAGUAUAAGUAAUUCAGCAAAAUGGUAAAAUAUUUCUCAUGAACAGAGAGAGGCAAAACCCUUAACUGCACAUUACAAUCUAACAUUAAGGUUGAGGCAUUAAUAUAUAUCAUGCUCUGAUGAUUUUCACAAUCAGUUCUAAGAAUUAAAAUUUAUGACCAACAUGGACACUCCAUUACAAAUGAAUAAGGGUGUUUGGGGAUUGUCAUUGGGUGUUGAAAAAGCUAGUUAGAAUUUUUUUUUAAUUUAAUAUAUUAAUUUUUUAGAAAAUUUUCUAAACUGCUUUUCUCAAACCUGCUUUUGGGGAAAUCAUCAAUUACUUGCUUUUUGCAUAAGCAACCUUCAAACUUAAAAAAUAAAAUAAUAUAAAAAUUGAGGUUGCCAAACACACCCUAAGAUUUUGAUGAUGAUAAGCAAUGAGACGUAAUCACAAAUAAUAAUAUAAGACAUUAAAAAUUGGCAUUAGCAUUCAAAGCACAAUUCAUGAGUAUUUUGUACCUGAACCAGGACAACGAGGAUCAAAUUCAUCAGCCACCUCAACUUCCUCGCCUGCAGAAGACAUAGUUGUACCAAAACCAGUGGCUGCUUGACUUGGAAUAUUGCUUGCAGCUGGAGAGGCAGCUCUAGGAGCAGGCGGAGAAGAUACUCCAGGAACAGAUGCUGCUGAAGUUUCUCCAUUCCUUUCACGAAGAAGUUUGUUCAAAUCAAUCAAAUGAGCAUGAAGAGAGUAAAAUCUUGAUGCAUUUCCAUGGUAAAAGAUUGAAUACCUUUCACUGUGAGCAGGACUUCGGGACUCACUCACAGCUUCUUCAUAACUAGGUGGAGCAAUAUUUUGUUCAGAAAAUUUUCGCUCAAGCCUCCUGGCAAUGCUAUGAUAUAAUUAAUUUAGUCUGACACUAUUGAAAUUAUACAAUAACGCCAGCAAAUUUUUAGCUCAUCCAGCAUAAUUUUACCUUCCAUCCUGAGAUUGAUCAUCAGCUUUAGCACCACUACCGCUGCAGAAUAAUGGAGCAAAAAUAAGCUAUUUCAAGCAAUGGUACAAUGAUGAUAUAUUCAGCACGCUUUUUAAAUUUACAAGAGAGAUCAUAAGAGCACGAGGAAACAUAUCAGCUACUUUAGACAUCCCAUUAACACAUCAGCAUACCCUGAUCAAAGUAGUUCCUCAUAAUAAGACCAUUCCACUGGGACCUCUUCAUUUUGUCAUAAUACCUGAACCUCCCAAGUUUGUUGAAUCCAACACCAUGGCUGUAUUUCAUUUUAUGUUAUAGUCAUUAAUUCAUGAUCUUCUAGUAACCUUCCUUAAUAAUAGACGUGUUUAAGCUUUCAAAUGAGCAACCAAAAAGGCUUUAUAACAUAUUCAUAUUUGUCAUGGACAAACCUUCAUAUCAUUUAAAUACAUGCAUUAACAUCACACAGAAUCACUAAAAUAAAUUAUCAAUUUCCAUAAUUCAGCAUCUAUUAAACACAAGUAACUGUCUUCAAUUUAACUUUUCUCCAUCUGGACUCUAAAAGGACAGAGAUGCACAUUGUCAAUUAAUGAAUUCGCAGUUUCUCCUUUACUUGAGGUUUCAUAUGUACUUGCUCAAAGAAAAAAAAGCGAAAUCUCAAAAUAGGACAUUUAUACUGUCCUAAAUAGCUGCUAUCUGAAUAAAAACAGCAAUAGGUAAUGAUAUAUGUUCUCAGAAUUUUGAAAGCUCACUACAAUCAAAUAGUUAACUACAGAAAAUAGAUACCAUACCGAGAUGAGGAUUGACCGUCGUCAUCAGCCCCUCUAUCAGAACUCCUGCUUCGUGAACCAUAAUCAUCAAUGCUUCGACUUCUUCCUUGGUAGUCAUCAUCUCUGUAGCCAUCUCUGCUGUAGCGCUCUUCAUUAUCUCUUCCAUACCGAUCUCCAUCACGACUAUAAGAGUCUCCAUAUUUACCAUAUCGAUCAUCGUCCCUAUAGUUGUAAUCUCGUUCUCUCCCAUAGCCAUAGCCAUUUCUAUCUUCAUCCCUGCUUCCAUAGCGACCUUCAUAACGUUCAUCAUCAUAUCUGUCACCAUAUGAACCAGGUUUGUACAUUCCACCAGCUGACGUAUUGCGAAACCUACCAAAAAUUCACCAGUCAUAACCUAAAGUUUGAAAUGUUGUAUUUCUAUUCACUUGUGUUAUUUUUGGUCCAUAGCAGAAAACAUGUCAUAAACACACCAAGAUGAAAUGAGAAUCAUAUUGCAAAUGCCAUACAGUGAAAAAUUAGGAGAACUCUGGUGGCAAACUGGCAAUGCAACACAAAAAGGAGGUUUUAAAAGCCACAGUAACAUAUACAUACAGAUAAACAUUAUACUUUUUAGACAAUUUGGUUCAAGCACAACUCACUUUUCUCGAUUAGCAGCUGCCUUUUGUCUAACUUCAAUUAUCCUUUCUUUAUCAUUUACCAGGACCACAAGACUCUGGGAUUUCUUUCUGACAUUGCUACCCUGGUCUCUUCCACUGGAAUCAAUAUAUUGGAAAUCUGACAAGGUCUAUAAUGCAGGAGAAGAAAAAAAUUAAUUUAUUACAGGUGAUCCAACAGUUGUUGCACACACAAAUAAAGCGAUAUAAUUCUAAAAAUUGGAAUUAGAGAGCAGAAAAAUUACCGAGAUUUGAUAUGCAUGCUCCCUUAUCUCAUCUAUGACACGCUCUGAUCCAUUGGCAACCAGGUAUUCCAGAACAGUCAAACCCUGAAGCCAGGCACAAGUAGUCAGUCAGCUGUUACAAUGCAAUGCAAAAAAGAAAAGUGACAUAUGCCAAUUGUAUAUGAUAACAGUACUGAGUAAUAUAACAUUGUCCAUCAUGAAUGUCAAAAGCUACUUUCAUAACUAAUAAUGGGUCGCCUGAAGCCUGAAGGGUAUUAUAUAACAGUUACACUAUAUGCAUUUUUGUAGAAGACUAAAAACGACAAGCAUAUGCCAAAGCAAAAAAGAAGAAAAUACAUAGAAAAUAAUACAGACCUUGUAGACAUGCCGCCAGUUCUUGCCAGUGUCAUUUAUCCUCUUCCAGAUUACUGCCAUGAUCAUCUGGUAUUCAUGACUGCAUCGAAAAUUAAAGAAUUAGUCUCUUUGUAGUAAAAUACAUAAUAGAGCAUCUAUGAAGUAAUUAAUCCAUCUUACUAAUUUCUGGUAGCCUGUGCAAUAUCUGCUAGGAGAGUUCCAUGAGGACCCCAGGGCUCAUUACUGGUCGCAUCAAGAACCUGAAAGGAAAAGGGAACAAGAAAAGUAUUUUGUAAGAGCUCUUGCAUGGAAAGACAGGUCACAUUUGUAAAUAAGCUAAACUCCAUUUUGCAAACAAGGAUAGAUUUAUCAUUCUCAAUUACAAAGGUUUAUACAAAACAAGAAAACACUUUACCUUCUGUUCUAUACCAGGAACUUUAAGCACUUUUUUAUUAACUUCUCUCUUACUGCAAUUAAACAGUAAAGAGAAAACAAUUAGCCAAAUUAGUAAUUUUCCAGAAUGCAUAAAUUAGUAUGACAUAGCUGUUAAAAAAACCAAAGUGAAACUAGUCCCAAGUCUUGUAAAGUUUGAUAUCAGUAGGAAUUUGUGCAACACACCCUAAUUUUUUUAUCAAACAGCAAAUGUAAGUUAUUAACCACCCAGAAACUAAUUACUGGAACUAUGUGCCAUACUUACAUGUCCCUAACAGUUUGAUCAAACACCUUCUUCAUUGUCACAAGAAGUGAUCUACACUGGCAAUGCCAAUCACUAUCAAGAGACCCCUUUUAUGCACUGAUCAAAAGCAAGGUAACAGUUAGAUCUUCACAAUAAGAACAAAUUUCCAAAAUUAUACAUCAUAGUAAGUGAAAUGAAUACAACGUAAACAAAUCAGAAGGGAAAAGAAAAAUAUUAUUUCCAAGGACAAAUUUUGAUCAACUUUAAUAUAAGAUUUGGUUAGCCCUCCAACAGGUAUACUAUAUAAUAGAAUCAACCACAUAAUACUUCCAAGCAAUAAAGUUCUCAGAUAACAAUGAAACUGAAUAAAAAUCCUAAUAAACUGAAUUCACACCUAAAUUUCAGCAUCACAUGGAUUUAAGUCAUAGCAAAAAUUAAUGAAAAAGAACAAGAUUUAAUCUUUUAAAGUUUACAUGUAAAAACAAUCUCUUUCUCUUUUACCAAGAUGAAUCGUACACCUGAAAAAAUUUUGAACUAUUAUUUUGUUACACUAUCAAAUGCAUCUCACAUUACAGCUAAAUCCAUUAAGUCAACAUAAGAUCCGUUUAGAGAAAACCAAAACCCACCGACCUAUAUCAAAAGCAUAAUCUAAGCCCUAACUUAGAAUCAAAAAUUCAGGUAAACCUGGAGCUGGGUUUCUGUCUUUGUAGCCCCAAACUAAAAAGAAAAAAAAAAUAACUACGACAAUAAUAAUAAUAAAGCUGAAAUAAACGAAACAUAGAGAUAAGGUAAAUGAAAAAUACACUUGAAAUAAGAAAAAUAGAAACACGAACCCAGAUCAGAUCUGACGGUGACAAAACGAGAUCAGAGAAAAGGAAAAGAAAAAAAAAAACCCAGAUCUGGAGAUGGCAAAUAGCUCGAUCCGGUGGCAGCAGCCUCUCUCUGUUUCAGAGAGAAAGAGGGAGAGAGAACACAAAAAUAGAAUUUUUAUUUUUCAAGGAAGGAAAAGCGCAAAGCGCGUAAUUGCUACUUACUAAAAUAUGCCUCUUCUUCUUCCUCUUCUUCUUCUUCUUAUUAUUAUUAUUAUUAUAUAAUUAAAACAGAUUACAAAUAUAAUUAAACAAAAACUAAUACCAAAAGAACAGAGAGAGAGAGAGAGAGAGAGGUGUUGGCGUUGUUAUUAAUGUCGUUGGUGUUGGAGUUGUAACGUAGCUGUUGAUGUUGAUGUUGUUGUUGUUUGGUGUUAUUAUUGUUGGGUUGGGUUGGGUUUGGGUUUGGUUCUUUUUUUUUUUUUUUCAACUGUCUUAUUAUGCUUCUCCAAUUUUCAAUAAUUUGAGAAUUGUUUUUUCUUAAAUUAAUAAAAUUUGAAAAGAGAAAAAGACAGCCCAGGUAACUCGCAGAUAAUUGAGGGUAAUUAUUUAAUUCCUUUUGUGUUUUUCGGAUGAAUUUUUAAUUAUUUAAUUACAGUAACUUUUUUUUUUUACACGCAGUUAUUAUUUCUCAUAAGUCAUAGCAAUGGAUAGAAUUUAGUUGAUUAACUCAAUUGGAUUAAGUUAUGACCAUUGACAAUUUCAAUCAAAUAGCACUUUGUUAUUGAGAAGUUACAGCAAGAGUCUAACUUGAAUUUGAAUUUGAAUUUGGGUUAAUGUUUUACAUGUAUAUAUUAAAUAAUGAGUAUAAUAAUAAUAUAUACUGAUUAAAUUUUAUAAGUUGAUAUAGUUUUAAAUUGAAAAUUAAAUGUAUGCAGUAUUUAUAGAUUAAAAAUUUAUCAUAAUAAUUUAUUAAAUUUACCAUUUUAACAUUCGAAUUUGACAUAACUUAUUAAGAUCGAAAUAAAUUUUUAAUAUUUAAUAAUUUAGUUCAUAUAAUUUAGACAUAUAUAUUUAGAUUGAUGUGUUAAAUUUAAAAUGAAAUUGCAUUAUAUAAGUAGUUAUCUUUAAGAAAUAUAUUAAAUUCUUCUGUAAUAAUUUCAUAAAUUUUAUUCAUUUUAAAAGAUAUUAUAGUUUUUCAAUGGUUAGACUAAGUUAGUUAGAUAAAAUUGAUCCCAAAUUCAGAUAAUUUAAAAUCAAGUGUGAGACAUAGUUAAUUCUUUUAUAAUAAUAUUUUCAUGGUACAUUUAUAUUGUCGGUCAAAUAAGAAAUUAUCCCCACAUGCAGUUUUAGAAAAAUAAAAUGAAAAUUGCCACAUUUAGAUCUAAAUGGUUAUUAAAAUCAAACUCAUGAAAGCCUGUUUCGUUUUUUAAUAUGAUUUUGCUGAUAGUGCCUUUUUAUCUUUUUGCGGUUGUAAUAAUAACAUAGGGGAGGUGGAAAGUUGUUUUAUUCCAUGUUUGGUAAUCAUUUAAAUUCAAUUCUUACCCACCAUUUUUCUUUUCUUUUUCUUCAUAUAUUAUAUGGUGGUCUACACCCAAACAAUUUGAAAGCCAUCAAUCUAUUUACAUUAUGAAUAUGAGUCACCCUUUUUAUGAAAUUUAAAUAAAUAAAUAAAUUGAAAUAAAAAAAAAUAGGCUAUAUAACAUAUGACCAUAUAAAUAUGAUAAACUUUUACUAGCGAUGAAGAUAUUCAUAAAAUAAAAUAAUUCUGUAAAUUCGAAUUUAAAUAAAAAUAUUAAUAAAAUAAAAUAAAGUAUAAUAAAUUGUCCAAUGUCUAGCUUGAUUAUAUUAAUACAUUAUUGUUGUGAUAUAGUAAGUAAAUACUUCUCUUGUUGCACCCAUUAUUCAUUGGAAUCUCCAUUAGUUGUCAAAGGAUUGGCAACUUUUCUAGUGCUAUUGCUUUUACUUUUCAUUGUGUUUGUUUUCUUUAUUCUUCUUGGCUUCUAGAUUUAUAUAUUUUACUUGUCACAAGCACAUUAGCCAGAUUGUGGACCAAUCCCAUAGAUGCUGGAGAGGAAGCACACAGAAUUUCAUUAAAAAUUAAAUAAAUUGUAUAUAUAGUCUUGAUGGGCAAAAUAAUUAGGCCAAAUACCUUAUAAUAAGAUGUGAGGUUAAAAUUUUAAAUAAUUGUAAUUAUAUUUCUUGGCAAAUUAAUGCCCUGUAACAUAAACAACCUUCAAUUGUUUGAUGCUCAAUGCAUUAAAUUGAAAUUAUUAUUUUUUCUUAUUAAAAAAUAAUAAUCUCUGUAUUAAAUAAAUUUUUAUAUUUAUAGGGAGUAUAAAAAUAUGAAUAUUUUUAUUGUACAAUAGACCCAUUUAUCCUCAUGAAUUAAAAAAAAUAAAUAAAUUAGCAUAAGAAGAGUCAUAGGAUUGUUCCAGUUGAAUUUGACCAUGCUGGCUGAGGUUGGUUCCUUGCUGUCAUCGUUCAUCUUUUAUGUGUUAAAACAGAAAUAUAUAACAAUUGAAUUAACUGAAUUUGUUAUUUGGUGAUUUGGGAUUUUCUCUUUUUUGUUUCUUUUCUUUUUUUAAAGUAUCUUUUGCACUUUGAUUUUGCAAAAUUUAUAAAUAAAUACUUUGGCCUGCUAAAUUUGACCUUGCUUUCCAGUCCUAUUCUGCCACCCUUUUUCUUUGCUUCAUUACAUCUGUUGCUUCUUGUUGGCAACUCUUGUGUGUGUAUGAGUGUCUGUUUUGUUUUCCUUUUUUUUCAUUUGAUUCACACCCCACAAAAUAGUAAAAAUGUACACCAUAUGCAACCAAAAUAAGGGAGAAAUUAAAGGAGAAAACUUUGAUCCUUGCUUUUAUUUGCCCCCCUUUUCUCUCUUCCUUUUUGCUGUUCUGAUAGUGAAAAAGGAAAAAAAAAAAAAAAAGUUAAAUGAUGCUGGUUGAGACUUUAGACAACAAAAGGUAAAUAUUCAACCACAAUCUUAAUUAAUUACAUUGUAAAUUAAAGAUCUGGACCAACAAUUCUUUCUGUUUUUUCAUGUUUACUUUUGCAUUAGAUGGAGAGAAUGACAAGUAGCUGCAAAAUGAUAUUAAAGUUGAAAUAAUGAACCAAGAAAAAAUAAUUAAAAAUAAUAGUGGGUUUGGAAACAAAGGUAAGACAAAGAUGAAUAGAACACAAACCUAACAAUGUAGGACAUGCAAAAGCAAAACCACUAUUAUAAAGUUUAUUUUUCUAUCUUUCAUUUCUAUAUUACAUGAAUCUCCUAAAAGGAACUGAAAUGCCAACUUUACCCAGAUAAUUCAAACUUCAAACUCUACAUGCCAAAUUGAUGGGAACCUAUUUGGCAUAUGCAUAACAUGCUAGACAAAAGAAAGUAAAUGUCCUUGCACCAGAACUAAAACCUCUCUAAGGCAAGAGGUUAUUACAUGGUCCUGAUUCACUACGUCAUCAAAAAAACUCAUCCGAUAAAAUGAUGAUAUUUAAUCUCAUUGGAUGAGUUUUGUGAUGACGUGCUGGAUCAAGUUCAUAUAAUAAUUUCUCCUCUGACUAUUAUUGCACUACCCAUGAAGGAAUUUAAAGUUCAUCUGGGCAGGGCAGCUAUAUCAGUGAACCACUAGAAAUAGUGUCUCAGAAAUGGACUGACAUUGAAGAGCUUCCCAAGUACAAUGAUCUAGAAAUAAGUAGCCCAUUUGACAAGUUUAAGGAUGCAUGCUUGAAGAGAGUUUGCAUUCUCUGUUAUUUUCGUUACUUUCUGUUAUGUUACACUACGUGAGGAUGAAUUUGAAUAUAUUCAUUAAUUAGAGAUGCAGAUUACAUGAAAAUCAAUCAAGAGAAAGGACUGGUUGCAGUUGCAGGUAAGAACGUAAGGGAAAAAUCAGAAUGUAUAAGCUAGAUGAAGUGGAUUAAACACCUGAACAUAGAUCCUGACGAUGACCAUGAGAUUCGUCUUAAGUCGCAACUUUAGAAAGGAAAUUUAACCCAUCUGCGGAGGUUUGUUUUUAUACUAGAUGCUAUUUUUUGGUAGGACAGAAACACCCUGAAAAAGGCCAGUACGUGCGAUUGGAAAGAAAGAGUCAUGGGGAAGUCCUUACUAGAGUAGAUCACAGUGACAGAGUGAAGCCUUAAUUGUCCUCGUGGUAGCUUUCUCCUUGAGAGUGCAUCAGGCUGACCAGUUUAUCCCUCUCAAAAACGUCAGGGGCUCUGAAAAUCUGAACCUGUGCAAGCCCCUUAAUUUAUUAGAAUGUUUUUAAGAUUGCCAUUAAGUUAUAGUAAUUGAUAUUUGAGAAAGAAUGAUUUAAGGACAGGGUGGAAGCAAAAUUGCAUGUUAAAUAUUGAAAUCUGCAAGGACAGACGAAUAGCUUGUUAAGAGCAGCCUCCAAAAUAUUCUCUCUGUUCCAAUAAGAAAUUUUGUUUCUUUUUCCUUGGAAAAAGAUAAAGGGAGAGACCAAUACGCUCUGGAAAUUUUAUGGCGCAGCCUAAAUGGAAACUUGACACAACCUGUUCCUCUUCCUCAUCAUUUGGUUGUCCCUCCUGGAAUAAAAUGAUGAAAAUUUGUAAGUUUCGGGGAAAAUUAAGCAUUUCCAAUGUAUGGUGUUGUUCGGUAUCUUGCCAUGUUUUGAUGUUUUCCAAAGAAAGGUACGUACUCAAGGCAUACUUGUCCAGGAUAUGGAGAAGUGGAAACCAUCAUCCAACUUUUGAAUUCUACACCUGGUGUAUAGAACGCAAGGAUAGAAAAAUAUAUAUGAAUGUUUUAUUUUUUAGAAUUUGAUGAUUGGAACAUAUUUAAUUAAUUAAAAUUAAUAAAUAUAAAAUAUAAAGACUUUGAGGAUUAGUUUAUAUAGCAAAAACAUUCGCUCUUAAAACUUAAAACUAAAAGAGUCAUCUCUUUUGUAUUAAAUAAUUUUUUACUUUUUUGUCUACUUGCUUGUUGGUGUUUUCAUAAAUUAAAAAAUAAUAAAUAUAAAUCAAUAAUGUAUUAUAAGUGGAAAAUAGAUAAAAAAAAUUUUUGAUAAUAGAAUGACCUUAGGUAUGUGGUGUCUGGUUAUUUUCGAAAGCAAGUCUUAAAAGUGGACAAGGUAAUCAAGUCACCAGCAAAAUGUGUUGGUGAAGUUUGGGACACUGAAAGGGCUGAAGCAAUUGCACUCCUUCAUGGGGGAUUGUGGGCUAUACUUAUGGUCAUUGGUGAUUCAAAGCUGGUUAUUCAGAAUCUAUGAAAUACAGGGCCAAAUUCUUGCAAAGAUCCAUCAAUUACUGUAUGAGGACAUUAUCAACUCUGCCCAAGGCUUUCAGGAAGUUGUUUUUACUCUCAUGUUAAUAAGGAAAUGGAACCAAGUGGCUCAUCAUCAUUUUCUUUUUAGCCAAGAGAGCUAUCACAUUACAAGUUGAACAUUUAUGAUUAUACUAUUUGCACUAAAUAUCGAGAACCAACUUCUUUCUUUUAGAUGGUAUUUGUAAUUAAUAUUAAUUAAAGUUAGGUUUAGCUUUUUUUCCCUCUUUCAUGAGGUUGAGGUUGUAUUUAUUUUUUUCUUUUUAUCUAUACUUUUUUGUUUUAUGCUAAAAGGGAUGUCAGCCUAAUUGAGAUUUCUAUUACCAAUCUUAUUCAGAAAAAGAAAUUUAUAACUGCAAUUGGAAUAUAUCUAAACAAUUCAAAAGGGCUUGAGAGCAGUUUUGAUAGUAUAAAAUACUGAGAAGAUCUCUGCUGUUUAAACUGUAAUUUGUCAUCCUAAUUUAUGUAUUUCAAAUCUAGAGUAUAUAUAUGCAAUUUUUAUGUAAAUAAGAGAAAAAAGAAGAAAGGAACACCCUUUUAAUUGGGCAAUGGGUUCCAUGUCUAAGUUAAGAAUGUAUUUAUGGAUUAGUAUAGGAAAAUGCUCAAGAGUUUUGAGCCAAAAGUUGAAGGUUCCAAAUGAUCUGAGGCCCAAAUCAGGUGCUAGGUUUAGAUAAUUUGUUUUAAUAGAGUUCAUCAAGGCAUGUCCUUUCUUAUCAGAAAAAAAAUACACAUAUUCUGAUCCUUUAUUCUAAAUUAUAAAAUUAAAAAAAGAAAAAAGAAAAGAAUGAAAGUCUUUCAGAAAUGUGCCCCUACUUGGGUAAGCAAUUUUCAGUUUGAACAUUAAAGGCUCAACUGAGCAUCAGUGUCACAAAAUGGACCUCAACUGAAGUGGAAGUUGAAGAAGGACAAGAAGAAAUUUAAAGCAACUUUUUGCUAACCUAUUUAUUGCUCUAUAAUAUUUACAUAUCUAACCAAUUAAUUGCUCUACUCUAACUUACUGAUUCAAGCUUCCUUGAUUGAGGUGGUGGAUUUACACAAGCUUGUUGAUUUGUCCACUCUUAAGGCUACACGAUUCAAUCAAACAACAUGACACAACACACGUAAUUAAAUGAUUUUGAAUUUAUGAUAAAUAGGUAUGGAGUAUAAACAUGUUAAAUUUAUAUUAGAGUUUGAUGUUAUGAUAUAAUUAAUUAAACAAAUCAAUAUUUGAAUUAGUAAUUUUUAUAUUAUAUACUUGAUAUGACACGACACGAAUUGUCAGCUCUAAAUUACUAUGAAGAAGUCAAAGUUUGGUCCGCUGAUGCAGGUGUGCAUUUGAAAGUGAGAUUCUGACCAUCUAAAACUUGUACGUAAUCACCUCUUGCGUAAUCAUCUUUUUGCAUAAGUCCAAAAAUAAUUUACAUUAAUAAAAUUACUAAAUUCUAUUAAAUUAAGUUAUUUCAUUAAUUCGGCCAUUUUAAUUAUGUAUUUUAUUAAUUUUUUCUAUUUAGUAUUUAAAUAUCUUUUAUAGCAGUGUUUCAAAGUAGAAUGUUUUGAUUAUUUAGAGUCUCUUCUUUAAUCUUUAAUAAGGUUUAGGUUAAUAUUAGCUAUAUCACGAACAUGCCUAUUUAACUUUAACACAUUAAAUUGUUGGAUUAAAGCUUCCAUAGGCAUUCAUGCUGUUCUUAAUCUCUAUAGGUUAAAACCAAAUUGGUUCCCUAAUGAAGUUCCUUUAACCUAUGUCAUAGAUUAGAACAUAAUUUCUUUUUUAAAUUGAUAAUCAAGCAUAAAUACUCUCACAUAGAUGAUGAGAGACUAGUGAUAAUUGAGCAAUCAUUAUAAAAUUACAAAAUAGAAUUGUAUGUUCUAUGAUGAUUGAUUCUAAUAGUUUACAAAAUAGAAUUCACGUGUGUGGUACACGAACCAUCGUGAUUGAUUGCGGCUUCUGACUUCUUAUCAAGUGAUUGUAGGUUUUCAAACGUUUUUCAGCCACAAUCUUUUUGAAUGUUCUACGAAAAUAACUAUAAAUGACUGUAAAUAUGAAUGUAAAUACUGAAAUAAUUGUAAGAAUCCCUCUUGUUUUGUUUUGUUACAUUUUUACGCUUUCAUACUAAACUACUUGAAGUGACCCAUGUUUUAGUAGAAGAAUUAGUGGACCAGUGGAUCAGUGAAGUCUGAUUUGAGUGGAGAUGUUAAUUUCAUCAUUUGAAAUAAUAACCACGUGUCAUGAAGUCCUUCAUUAUUUACUUGUUAUGACAAAGACUAGCAAUUUACUCAUGCAUAAUUAUUUUAUUAACCUUACAUUUAAAAUUUAAUAUUUAAUAUUAUAUAUAAUUUAAUUUAUAAUUAUAGUAGUAUAAAAAUAAAUUUUAUUUUAAUUUUAUGAUAUUUUUAUUUACAUCUAUAUUAGCCUUUUAUAAAAUAAUCAUAUGAUAUAUUUUUAUGAGAUUUCUAUAUAUAUUAUAUGCUAAGAUAAAUAAAUAUGGAAAGUAUAUAUAUUUAUCAAUUUUAAAUUUUUAUAUAUUUCAUUGCAAUUAUUCAAAAUCUACUACUUUCUAUUGAGUCAUUUCAUGAAAUUUUUACAUAAUCUUUUAUUGGUUGUGUCACGACCCGAUCUAUGGGCCCGUGACCGGCAUUAGGGAAUGGAUAGGCUUAAGGUCACCGAAUCCCGUAGUAAGCCUUACUAACAGAUAAUUCAAUAAAAUACUUAUAAAAAUAUAAUAUUAAUCAUGACUGACAUGUCAUAUAUAAAUCUAACUCGUCUGUGAUAACAUCAUAACAAAUCAAAAUAUUCUAUUGCAGAGUAUAAAAUAACAAAAAAUAUGAAAGUAUAGAUUAUUUACAAUAAGCUCGAUGAAGAAAGAAGUCGGGUUGUCAAAAUACAGGAUGGCAAAGAACUCUAACUGUCACCUGAAAAAUAAAAUUGAAACUGUCAGUCUCGAGAGUGAGUUAAAAUCAAAUAAUCCUGUAACUAUUGCAGUCUCCUCAAUAAAAUAAUAUUUAUUAACUCAAUAUAUUAUGCCAUUGUAUAUCAAUUACGAGUCACACCAUAAUUUAGAAAUAAUAUACAUUUUAAUACUUAUGGGACGAGUGACUCAACAAAACCCUAACACAAAUCGCAGUCUUUCGACUCUCUUAUUCCAAUAGGUCUGACGCCUAGAGAGCGAAGUUCAACUAGGGUCCUUACAUCCAGCCUGGACACUUCAUUCCCAACUAAGCCAAGGCCUAGAGAGCAUUGCUUGACCAGGAUCCUUUCUCUGACAGUCAAACUUUCAUAGCCCAGAGAGUUAUACUCGACCAGAGCAAAUCCAAACAUAACAUUAUUAACUGUCCUUGAUUAUUACCAGUGUGCACGCGGUCCUGAUGCAGCUCAUCAGGUGGCAUGUUCUACUAUAGCCUCAUUGUCACAAUCGUAACAUAAAUAUAAUAAUCAUAAACUAACAUCAUUAUUCAAUAACAUACUGAAAUUAAGGAUUCAAAAUCUCGGGUAAAUUAAGCAUGCAAUUUAUAUAUAGAAUUAAUAAUAAUAGUAUUGAAAGAACAUUAAUUAUGAUUUCGAAAAUAAUGAGAUAAUUUUACAGAUAAUAACGUUAAUAUUAUUUAUGGUAAUUGUUAAUUAAAUGAAAUUAUUUGUAAUACGAUACUGAUAAUCAUAUUACACAUAAAUCACUAAAACAUUGCAUCAAAUUCAAACAAUGCCAAUAGUGCAGCGAUUAUAUGACUUUAAUUCACAGUUCUGUCGUACCCCUCAGUUCACUACUACACCUCGGGGGGAGCUGGCGGGAAGGAUGGGUUAUCUAUUCACGAAAAUAUUCAGUUAAUAGACAUUCUUAAAUUUUUUCUAGGCAUAGACUCCUAGAUUAAACUGCCUAAAAUUAUUUUAGACUCGAGAAUUCUGUCAAAAAUUCGACAGAACCUCCCAUAAAUUAUAAACAUUUACCCCCCUAUAAAACGGGUCCAGAACCUACCAAAUAUACUUUAAAUCUACUGUGAUUAAUUAACGGUAGUCGGGCAACUAAAACUAAAUUAAUUUUUCUAAUUCUGCAACACAUUGCAAUCACAAAUAAUUUUUAAAUUAUCCAUCACUGAUAAUAAAUAGCCACAAUAUUAUUUUAAAAUUAUGACAUAAUUUUUAAGGUCUAAAUAAAAUUAUACCGAAUCAAAAUUGCAAUGUUUCACGCGUCCGAAAAGCACCGGGUCCGGAAGCCAGUCUUGCCAACAGUGUCGGAAUUCGAAUCCUGAAGCGUCUACGCGAAGCUUGAGUUGCAGGGAGUCCGAAGAUAUAAGAGCUUCGGCCGGAAAAUGGCCGGAAGGCACCAUAUCGGGGCCGGAAAAGUGAUUCUCCGGUGAAGCUUCUCGAGGCUGCCGGCGACGGAUUUCACUGCAAGGAGGGUCGUUUUCGGGGUUUUCAAGGGUGGGGAGUCCGAAUCCGGUGUCGGAUUUCAGAAAGGAUGUUGGUAGGAGGCCGAACCGACGAUGGCAGCCUCUUUGUCCCUUGUCAGCGUCAGUGGAAGGGAGAGAGGAGGAGAAGGGGCUGCUGGACGGCAGCGGUGAGCUGGGCGGUAUGCAAGCAGUAAGGGGGAGGAGGUGGUCGAUGGGGAGAGGGAGAAGGAAGAGAGAGAGCCGACGUAAGGGAGGGAAGGAGAAGGAAGGGAGGUAGGAAAAGAGGAGAGAGGAGGGGAGAGGAAAGAAAAAUGGGAAGGCGAAUUUUUUAUUGUUAUUAUUAUUAUUAUUAUUAUUAUUUUAUUAUUUUAUUUUUUUUAUUAUUUUAUUAUUUUUUUUUUUUUAAUUUUGGGUAUUACAGGUUGCUUCAGUAUAUUGAGACCGGUAAGAAUUUUUCUUAGUAUUAGUGUAAGUAUUGCAGCUUUUUUUUAUAAUAUAAUAGCUGUGUAAAUUAAAUAAAAACAAUAAUAAAGUAUAAUAUUAAAAUAAUAUAAUUUAAGAGAAGCAUAAUAACGCUCAAAUAUAAUUAAUAAAAAAUAAAUUAGCAUGUCUAUAUAUAUCUCGAAAUAUUUAAUAUUUUAAAAAUAUUAAAUUAAUAAUGUACCACUAGAAAAAAAUUAAAUAAAAAUUAAAAUUUAUAUUAUUAUAAUAAAAAAUAAGAACCCAACCAUAUUCAAUAUAUAGACCUUCAUAAGAACAAUAUUAAAUAAUUUAUUUCUUUUUUUUUUAAUACAUAUACAUAACAAAAUAAAAAAAUAAUAAUAGGUUGUAUUGACAAGUGGAUCAAUAUUUUUUAUGGAAAAAAAAAAAUUGAUCCAAAAACAUGUUGUAGAAACAUGAGGAAAAAAUUAAAUUAAGUGCUUUUUCUGUUAUAUAACUAGUUACUUUGAAUGAUUUUGUUGAUGUUUAAUUGAUGUUUCGUUUAUAUUUGGUUGAUUUUUGUAAAUAUUUUUUAUUGAAAUAAAAAUAUUAUUCACUUGCUUAAGAAAAAGGGAUUCGUGUAAACGACAUCUUAACAAGCUUUGAUACCUUAGCAAGCAGCAAAUGGAAACCCAUUGUUGGUACUUUGCAGCUCUUUUGCUCAAGUUCUCCUCUUUCAUUAUCAUAUGUUUACUUGUAGAAUUCUUUUUUAUAUUUUUGUUAAAAGAAAAAUAAAAUCUUUUCAUUUUUAUAAAAAAUACGUAAAACUUGUUAUUAAAUAAAAAAAAUCUUAAUAUUUUAUUUAACUAAUAUUUUAAAUUUAAAAAUUAAAUUUAAAAUAAAAAAAAAAAACCGAAAACUCUUCAUUUUCAUUUAAAUUCUUGUAAAGUUUAAUUAUAAUUUAAAAAUUAUGAAAAAAAGUGUUUUUUAAUUUUAAUUUUAGGAAAAAGACAAAUAAAUACAAUUUUUUGUGUUUAUUUAAAAAUCUUCUAAAAAGUUCACCUAAUUUUUUACAAAUAAACCCGUCCAAAGUUUUGGUGCAGUCACGAAUCUUCCAAAUUAUUCUAUUCAAAACAAGAAAAAAAAAGAAGAAAAAGGACUUGUUUUAGUGGAUCACGAAGCUGUGGAAUUUGCAUGUUAUUAUGGGAAUAUUGCUCGGCCACAAACCCUAGUCGGCUGAUUUGAACAGUGGAAUGGAAAUUCAUGUCUUCUAUUUAUGCCAAUACAAUACAAAUUGAUUUUUGCUUUCUGUCAGACAAAUUGGGAUUUCUUCGAUUAAUUAAAAACAGUUUAGUUUAGUUUCUUGAGUUACGAAAACUGCUUUGGGGGAAAAACAUGUAAAUUAAAAACAGUUUAUGAAAGAACAAAAAACCAACGUAUUAGAUUUACAAAAUAAAAAUCAAUAUGUUAAAUAAAACAUCCAUUUAUUUAAAUUUAUUCAAUAAAAAAAAUUUAAAAACUUACUUCUCAAACAUCCAAUGACAAUCCAAACAAGCCCUUAAACAUAUUUAAUACUCGAAAUUACAUUAAAUUGAAUUAAACAUAUAGUAUUUUAUUGUAAAAGAAAUGAGUCUAAAGAGUUUAAUGCAUAAUGAAUAAUAUAACAUCAAAAUCACUCUUUUCUAAGAAGCUUUAUUUUUUUAGAUAUUCCGAUUUGUAUUCCUCUAGUAAAAUUCAAAAUAUAUACCUCUUUUCUUUUAUAAAAUCUUUUUAUUUCUUUUUUUUUAAAGUGAUUUUAUGUACGGUUUUUAUUAUCAAUAAAAAUUGGUCAAUGAUUUUUUUUGUCAAAAACUUUAAAUGCAAGGGAUGAGGUAUAUAUCGUGCACAUUAAGCAUAAAGAAAAUAUGUCUCAAUUAGAGGAGAGUACGAUCAAAUCAAGCACAAAAAUGUUGAAUCUUUCCUUGGCAUUUUAGCAAAUAUGAUGAUGACAAAAAAACACAUCCUUCCAAAAAUAAAAAUAAGAAGAACAAGGAAAACGAAAUCAUGGGUAUUCCUUGUUUCGUAANNNNNNNNNNNNNNNNNNNNNNNNNNNNNNNNNNNNNNNNNNNNNNNNNNNNNNNNNNNNNNNNNNNNNNNNNNNNNNNNNNNNNNNNNNNNNNNNNNNNNNNNNNNNNNNNNNNNNNNNNNNNNNNNNNNNNNNNNNNNNNNNNNNNNNNNNNNNNNNNNNNNNNNNNNNNNNNNNNNNNNNNNNNNNNNNNNNNNNNNNNNNNNNNNNNNNNNNNNNNNNNNNNNNNNNNNNNNNNNNNNNNNNNNNNNNNNNNNNNNNNNNNNNNNNNNNNNNNNNNNNNNNNNNNNNNNNNNNNNNNNNNNNNNNNNNNNNNNNNNNNNNNNNNNNNNNNNNNNNNCGUAAAAUGGACUAUUUUCAAUUUUAUUUCUCUUUUUUUUGUUAAUCAUCAUUCAUACUUUAUUUAUUAUUUUAUCAUAUGGGUCAGAAUAUAUAUUAUAAUAUAUAUAUAAAAGUGUGAAAAAAAUGAAAUAAUCUUAUGAUUAGUAUUGUUAAAAUUGGUUAAUUUGAUUUUUUUUAGAUAAAAUACAAAAGUUUCAAUAAGAAGAUGAGUAGUUUGAAUUGAAUGAAAUAAAUUCACCAGUAAUAAAUUUGCAGUACAAGUAAUAUAUCCAAUAUCUAUUCUGGGGCUUAACUCGAUAAUGGUGAUGUUGAAUCAAUCUAUUAUCAUUACUUUUUUUGUUUGUUUUAGUUUACCCGGAAGUACUCUUUUGAGCAAGAGUUUGUCUGUCUAACAUCAAGUUUUUCUGGGAUUUGUAGUGUUGAUGUUCUUGCUCUUGCUUUUGCUUUGAUAGAAUGCAAAUAAAGUAUUUGAUAGAAUGACCCAUAGAAUGAGAUUUAUGUGUUGAAAUCAAAAUUUACCAUUUUUUACAUGGUGAGUCGGCCUAUUUUUACUUACUCAAUUUUUCUAUUAUUAUUUUAAUUAUUACUGAUGCUACGUCACCAAAGUUUAUUGGAUUUUUUUCUAGACAGUAUUAUUUGAAAAAGAUUAACAAGGUUAAGUAUUAUUUUGUAAAUUUUGAAGAAUUAGAUAAAAUUAUUAAAGAGUUAAAAAGUGAGUAAUUAGGUAAAAAUAUUGUUAAUAAAUAUAAGUGAUAAAUCUCACAAUUAAAUCUACUGAGGAUUUGAAAGUUUCUGCCUACCAAAUAUAGGCCGGGAAUAAUUGUUAUAUAGCUAUUAAUGAAAUAAUCUUCUUUUAUAAGAAAAAUAGGAGUUUACAUACUUAUUCCAUUUUUACUUACAUAUUUUGGUUUUUGUAUUUUUUUUUCUCUUUUUUCCCUACUCUUGUUUGUUUUUUUUUUUUUCCAAAGGCAGAAUUGAAUUAAUAAAAGGCCCGAAAGGGCAAAGGGUACACGAAGGCUUGUUUGGCAACAUUGUUGGCAGGGACGUUAAGAGUCCUACUAAAAAAUUUAAACUGAACCUGAUUAAAAAACUACCUACCUUUUAGAACGUGGAUAUCUUCCAUUAAGCUGGCUGUAUCCCAACCCAUAAUCAUUAAACUAUUGGCACAGUUGAUAACCAGGGAUGACGGUAAGGCGGAUAUUUAUGGGUAUUUCAUCCGAUCGAAUCCUAUUAUAUAGGUGAAUACAGAUAUAGGAUAUCUGCUACUUGUUUAUCUAAACGGAUAUCUUGUAGGGUACUCACGAAUAUCCUAUCUUAUUAUACCCGUUAAGAAUAUUUUUUUAUCAUUUUAUUCUCUAUAAAUAUUGAACCUUAAACAUUUUAUAAAAAAAAGUCAUUCUACCACUAAGUCAUUUAAUAUUUUUUGUUAAAGUAACGUAUAUAUUAAUUUUUUUAUUAAUUUUAUUAUUAAUGAAAAUCAAAUUUUACUUAUUGUCAAAAGAGUAUAUAUCAUUUAGAAAAUAUUAUUAUCAAUUUCCAAUCUAUUAACAUUUUAAAUUUAUAAUUUUGUAGUGUAAUAUGAUAUUUGAUUAUUUAUAUAUAUACAUAUAUAUAUAUAUAUAUAUAUAUAUAUAUAUAAUAUUAAAUAAAUAAUAUUUAUUAGUAAUGUAUCUUUUAACUAAUUAAUAUUAUUUUUUUAUUGAUCUCUUUUAAUUAAAUCAACACUACAUCAUUUAUCAUCAUAACUACUUACAGUUUAUUCAUAUAGUAUUGUUAUACUAAGAUAUAAGAGAAUAUUUAUGAAUUCAAGAAAAAAAUCAUUAUAAUGCUCAAUCCAACAUGUUAGCAUUAUUAACUUAUGAUUAUAUAGUGUUAAUAUAACAUUAAUAAUAUUUAUUAAAUAAUCUUAACUAGUUUUAUGUCUUUUAACUAAUUAAUAUGAUAUAAAAAAUCUUACACCAUAUUGUUAUAUAGUAGAAUUUAAGCUUUAACCUUAAACUUUCAAUUUUAAUUAAUAAAUCUCACUUUUACUAUUAAGAUAAAGUAUUAAUAAGUAUAUGUAUUGUGUUAUUAUGUUUAGAAAUAUAUAAAACAAUUUUUUGAAACUUGAAUAUAUUAUACAGUUUAAUUUUUAUUUUUAUAAUAUCAAAACUCAAUAUUUAUAUAAAAAUAGAAAUAUCAUAUAUGAAUUUAAUAAAUAUUUUAUUAAUAAAUUAAAAAAAUAUAUUACAUGUAAUUGAAAGUAAAACUAUGCAGUUUCAAGGUAGUCUACAUAAUUUAAAUAAAAUUACGUAGUUUUGAGUAAAAUUACAUAAUUUUAUAUAUCAAAUUAAACAAAACCUAUCAUAAACUAAACCCUAAUUUUAUUCUCUCUUCUCAUCUCUAACUCACAUAAACUCUCUCAAAGCCUCCACCAACCACCCUCAUAAACCAUCUUCUUCAUGCCGCUGUUGAUGCUGUCCAUGCCGCCUCACGCCGCUGCUGCUGUCUUCCAUGCUGUUGUUGCUGUCUUCCACGCGCUGCUGCUUCCGUCGCCCUUGCCACCGUCAUUGUCAGAUAUUAUUGUAGUUUUAAUAUACUUAUAUGGUGUUUUAGCUAAAUAACAUAUUUUAUUUUUAAGAAACUCUUUUAUCAAAUAAAAUUGAAAAUAAAACUUUAGUGUUUGUUUGGUCUACUUGAGCUUUUAUGAUUUGCUAGAAGCUGAAUGUUUUGGUAAAAUAAAAAUUUAGUGUUAUUAUUAAGCAAGUUGAAAAUUAGUAUUAGUGUUUUAGCUAAAUAAGUGACUUUAGGCUAAUUUUUAUUUGAUUAAGUUCUUGUAUGGAGUCAUGAAAAUGAACUAUAUUAUUAGUUUUUGGAUGAUAGCCUAUUGGCUUUUUUUUUUUUUUUGAUAAAAUGGAAGCCUAUUUGAGCAUGGUUAAUAUGAGCAUUGAAGAAGUUGCAGAAGCUUGUUUAGGAUUAUUUUUCUAUUUGAGAUAUAUUUAGAUCUAUUAUUUAGUAUUUAAGAUGCUAAUUGUGUUUUUUUUUUCAAAUAUGGUAGAUGAGCACUUUAAGAGAGGUGGAAGAAUCACAAGUUGUAAUACAUAUUGUAUUUUAUUUAGUUCUUAUUACUUACAAUAUUGUUUUAAAUUUUAUUGAAUUUAUACUUGGAUUGUAUUACUAUAUUAAACAUUUAAUGUUGAAUAUUUAGACUUGAUUAGUUUAUAUUUUAUAUUUUUAUAUCUUUAUUAAUUUGAAUUAUUAUAAACGGAUAUCCAUUUAAUUACUUUAAUAUUUAUAUAAACGAAUUUUUAACGGAUAGAGUACUCGCUACCUAUUUAAAUAAUCAUAAAAUUUAUUUAACAGUUAUUUAAUUCAAACGGGUUUUAAUCGAGUUUGGAUAAUAUGUGAGUAUUCCUAUGUGGCAACCUGUCCUAAAGAGCGGUCCAACAAGAGCAGAAAGUGAACGCCGGGGCAAAGAUAGAAUGUCUGGACAAGGAGUGGCUUCUGGUAGGCUUCUAGGAUGACAACACUUUAAGCUACAGGGAUAUAUGAAUGAAUCAAAUUGCAUAUCGAAAUGGGGUGAAAAAUGAUUAAUAACAUAUGUGUAAGGAGUUGGAACUAAUCACAUGAGACGCCUUUUGGUUGUUUGGCUAUUGAGUUGUAGGAACUCCAAAGUUAAACGUGCUUAGUUAAGAGAAAUUUCAGAAUGGAGGACCACUUGAGAAGUUCUCGAACCCGCUAAAGGGACAAUACCGUGAGGCCACCGUGGGCCAAAGUGGACAAUAUCUCAUAUGAUAUGGUUCAGGGUCGUUACAUCCUAUUAGGAUUUGGGAUGAGUUCGGAUAAGUAUAGUUUUAAAUGGAUUCGGAUUCAGAUAGCAUUAAUUGAAUGGGUAUCCUAUCCGUUGCGAUCCCUAUUGAUAACAACUUGUGUAUCCCCUUGGAAAGUAACGUUCCACCAUCCUUUAGCAAUAGCCCAUAACAUUCCUUCUCAAAGAGCUAGGCUUUCAAGAAUAACUGGAGAGGUGAUGACGUCAAACAUUCUGCACCAAGAUAAUCCAUUUUGAAGCUGAAAGCCUGAGGCUACCGAACAAUCCUCUAUUGUAAACCGCAGCAUCAAAGUUAACUUUAAUACUGAGAGAAUUAUCUACAGGCGAAGGAGAAGGGGGUUGAUCCCUGAAUCCAUAGUUGACCUUGGGAAUAACUUUCAGUGCUGCUUCAAAUUCUUCAACAUCAGUCAAAGCCUUAAGAGCGACAGCAUUUGCUGUCCAACCUUGAUCAUCAAAGAUGAGGGCGUUCCUCGAUUUCCAAAUUCUCCAGAGGGUGAGGAAUACAAGCUGAAUGCUUUUUUGGGUUUGAUCCAAGCGAGAGAGGUCCUUUACCAUGGAAAUCCAGAACUCUCUAAAAUUAUCCUCAUUAACUCUAGUAGUAUCCAAUCCCAGAGGAGAAAAUCUUCAUACAGCCUGAGCGUACAAACACUUGCUGAAUAAGUGUAGUGUAGAUUCCUCUUUACCACAUCUUAAGCAUUCUAUAUUACAGUGCAUUCUGAUCUUAAGAUUCCUUCCAGCCGGAAAACAUUUUGACAAGGCUUUCCAGAGGAACAUUUUCAGCUUAUUUGCCACUGAUAACUUCUAAAUACUGCCCCAAUCAUCCCAUCUUGGCACUGACGAUGAGGCCCUGCUACUAUACUUUAUCUCGAGCCAUUCAUAAUAGCCCGAUUUCACAAAAUAAGUGCCUGAUUUGUGGUAUUUCCAUAUUAGCCUAUCGGGGCUGUUAGUGAUGCUGAUAGGGAUUCUGAGUAUAUCAUUUACUUGUUUUUUUUUUUUUUUUGGUAAUUGAAUGAUUUUUUGUUGAUAUUUGGUUAAAUUUGAAAUGAGUACACGGUUGAUGUUUGGUUGAAUUUGAUAUGAGUAUAUGGUUGAUGUUUGAUUAAUUUUCAGACCUAUGAAUAUUAUUUUUUUAAAAUUUAUAUUCUGAAAUUUAAAUACAUAAAUGAUUUUUGGAUUUUUUUUUAAUCUUAUGCAAUAUUUUAAUUAGAAUUUAUGGUUGAAAAUAAGAGUCUUUCAACUUUAAUUUCUUGUGAUGUAGCCAUUUUCUAUUUGUGUAGACAAAAUUUGGUAAAAAUAAAUUACAGCGAAAGCUCGAGCAUUAAUUAUUUUAUCUCUAAUGCAACAAUAUUUUUAUUAAAAUUAAUUUGCUUGUUGUUUCACGCAUCUACAUUUUAUAUAUUUAAUAUAAUGUAGUUAAUACUGUAUAUAUAUAUAUAUAUAUAUAUAUACUUUCUAAGAUGACAAAUUUUUAUUUUAAAAACAUUUGGUUGUUCUUUUAUUACUUUAAACAACUUUUGCUUCUUGUUAAAAAAAAAAAAAGGCAACUUUUACUUUUAGUGGUAGACAAAUUUGGGUGUAACUAUUAAAGAUAAGACCUGAUUUUACAAAUAAGCAAGUGGCUGAAAAUCUAGUAUUGUAUGGUAAAGGACCAUACUCAUUUGCUUCAUGCUGUAGCUUUUUCAAAAUGUUCAUAUGCUUAUGAUCUGUGUGAGUGAGGGUAUGAAUGCAAGACUGGUUAAGGACAAAGUACAAUGAUCAGUUUUGUAGCUCAAUUUAGCCACAUGACAUUGUGUUACAGGAAAACAAUAAGACCCUAUAAAAAUAUAGAAAGCACAAAUAAGGCUGUAAAAAUCAGUUUAGCCACUAAUCUCAUGCAGUUUAGAUUAAAAAAUGAGCCUAUUUUUGUAAAAGAAUUCAGCUUAAAAGGGAGAUUUUUGUAAUUUUUCAAAAAUAUAAAUGUUAUGGAUAUUCUAGAAAAGAAAAAAGGGAAAAGUAUAAGAAUCCAUGGGCUGGUUAAUCAUGGAGACAGAAUUGUAGUAGCUAAGGUCAAGAUUGGCUUACCAUUUUCCACAAAAUUGGCAAAAUUAUGAAAAAGGGAAAAAAGUAGUAAAAUAAAAGAAAAUUGUGGAUAAUAUAAAGAAAUGAAUGUGUGAUAAAAUAAAUAAAUAAAUAAUUAAAAAGAGGAAGUUAGAAAAUAAAAUAAAAAAGGAAUAUAGAAAUGGGGACCAUACCACCCACUUAAUUUGUAAAUAUGCAAAGAGUAGGGCUUUGGGGGCAGCAGUUGAUGAUGAUUAAGACUUUCCAGCUGUGACUUCACCUGCUACAUGGGAACCAAAGCAGAAUGUUCCUUUUUCUUUUCUUUUCUUUUUUAUAAUGUUCUGUUAGAAGAUAUGCAUGAAUUUAACUUUUGUUUAUCAAANNNNNNNNNNNNNNNNNNNNNNNNNNNNNNNNNNNNNNNNNNNNNNNNNNNNNNNNNNNNNNNNNNNNNNNNNNNNNNNNNNNNNNNNNNNNNNNNNNNNNNNNNNNNNNNNNNNNNNNNNNNNNNNNNNNNNNNNNNNNNNNNNNNNNNNNNNNNNNNNNNNNNNNNNNNNNNNNNNNNNNNNNNNNNNNNNNNNNNNNNNNNNNNNNNNNNNNNNNNNNNNNNNNNNNNNNNNNNNNNNNNNNNNNNNNNNNNNNNNNNNNNNNNNNNNNNNNNNNNNNNNNNNNNNNNNNNNNNNNNNNNNNNNNNNNNNNNNNNNNNNNNNNNNNNNNNNNNNNNNNNNNNNNNNNNNNNNNNNNNNNNNNNNNNNNNNNNNNNNNNNNNNNNNNNNNNNNNNNNNNNNNNNNNNNNNNNNNNNNNNNNNNNNNNNNNNNNNNNNNNNNNNNNNNNNNNNNNNNNNNNNNNNNNNNNNNNNNNNNNNNNNNNNNNNNNNNNNNNNNNNNNNNNNNNNNNNNNNNNNNNNNNNNNNNNNNNNNNNNNNNNNNNNNNNNNNNNNNNNNNNNNNNNNNNNNNNNNNNNNNNNNNNNNNNNNNNNNNNNNNNNNNNNNNNNNNNNNNNNNNNNNNNNNNGUCAAUUUCUUUUUAGUAUUAAUAACUGAAUAUUUUUUUUAGUUCUAAUUAUGGAUAAUGUUAUUACUUUGAUAAAACAACAGUUAUAUUUAUUGCAUAUUGUUAUUUCGAUAAGGAUCUUCCCUAACCCGAUCUUCCAAUGACUGCAUAACCACCUUAACCGCUGGACUUGUGACCGGACCUGUGGAUUUAUGUUAUGGCAUUUUCACUCUUUAGUCAAGAUCGGAGAAAGAGCAACCAAUCUCUUAAGAGCAUGUAAAAAGCCCAUCCUUUCUUGUGGGGUGAUCGAGAGAUGGAUUUUAUAGAGGAGUAUGGUCAUUGAACUCUUUUGAUUCGCCAGUAACGGUUCCUUACAUCAAGUCAAAUAACGGAGAUUCUCCAGGACCGAUCGAUUUAGCACAAGCAUAAUCCAUUAGAACGAGACGGCUUAAAUACGUGUUGUGAUUGUUCGUGACUGGACACUCAAACGGGGUUCAGAGGCAAGCGAGAAAGCGCAUAGCAGCACAAAAAAACAAAGACCUUCACGUGACGACCACGCGCGACGACCUCUCCUUACCUGGGCAGUUUGAAUGGGCAGAAGAUAGAACUCCAUGAAGGCACUAUAUAACUCAAUAUCUAUUAGAGGGCUAUUGGUGAAUUUUUUUUUUUUUUUAGAAUAGACUCUGAGAUAGAGGAGACUUUAAGGAGAUUUGGCUCAAGAGAAGCAAACGAAAGAUCGGAGUAGGCAUAAGCAUAAAAGGUAUUGGGAAUAAAUCUCGUCGUUAAUUCGUUAAUCUUAAUUCCUAAAUACUUAAUAUUUAAAAUUAAUAAAAUGAAUAUUCAUUUUAAAUUUAAACAAAUAUUUAAAUAUUAAAUAAAAAAUGAAUAUUAAUAUUAUUAAAUAAAAAAGAUUGAAAUUAAUAUUAAAUAAAAUUAAUUAAACUAAUAUUAAAUAUAAAUAAAUAAAUAAAUAAAGAAAAUUUCAAUUUAAUUAAAAAUUUUCUUUCAUUUUAAAAGUUUCAUUUAAAUUGAAAAUACCAUUAAUAAUAUUUUUAAAUCUUAUAUAACUAGUUAUUCACUCAUGCGUUGUAUGACUAUGAUUAUUAUUUUAAUUAUAAAAUUAAAUUUAUAGAUAUAAUUUAAUAAGAUUUUUAAUAUUUAAUAUUAAUUUAUAAUAUUUAAAAAUAAUAAUAAGUUAACUAUUGUUAAAUUUCUUUUAUUCUUUUUAAAGAUUUUAAGAUUUUAGUAGUGUAAUAUAACAAUUAUCUUUAAAAUAUUUAUUAAUUAAUAUUAGUAUUAUAUAAAUUAGUACUAUCAAUAUAGUUGAUAUUACUAUUUUUAAAGUUAAAAUUUACUAUAUAAUUAAAAAAUUAAUUUAUUAUUAAAAAUAUGAUUUAAAAUAUAAUAUUUUAAAAUUUAAAUUAUUAUUUAAUUAAAAAUUAAUUUAUUAAUUAAUAUAAUAUUAAAAAUAAUUAAUAUGCUAUUUUUUAUAAUAGAAUUAGUAUUAUUAUAUGAUUAGAAAAUUAUUUAUUAAUGAAUAUAAUAUUAAAAUAUAAUUUAUAUGUUAUUUUUUAGAAUUAGAAUCAAUAUAUAAUUAAAAAUAUAAUUUAUUAAUCAAUAAAUUAAAUCUCAUGCGUUAAAAAUAAAUAUAUAUACUAAAAUAAAAAAUUUAUAUAUCAANNNNNNNNNNNNNNNNNNNNNNNNNNNNNNNNNNNNNNNNNNNNNNNNNNNNNNNNNNNNNNNNNNNNNNNNNNNNNNNNNNNNNNNNNNNNNNNNNNNNNNNNNNNNNNNNNNNNNNNNNNNNNNNNNNNNNNNNNNNNNNNNNNNNNNNNNNNNNNNNNNNNNNNNNNNNNNNNNNNNNNNNNNNNNNNNNNNNNNNNNNNNNNNNNNNNNNNNNNNNNNNNNNNNNNNNNNNNNNNNNNNNNNNNNNNNNNNNNNNNNNNNNNNNNNNNNNNNNNNNNNNNNNNNNNNNNNNNNNNNNNNNNNNNNNNNNNNNNNNNNNNNNNNNNNNNNNNNNNNNNNNNNNNNNNNNNNNNNNNUUUUUCUAAAACUAGCAUUUGUUAUCCCUUAUAUUUAUAUAUUGUUCCACAAAGUAGUGUUUGUUAGUCACUUAUUAGUUCAAAAUAUAGGAAGUUGGACAAAGAGCCGAUUUUUUUUUUUUUUUAUCAAGGAUUAAAGUAUUUACAAUAUAUAUAUAUAUAUAUAUAUAAUUAACUGCAAUUUGCAUGAGGGAUAAAAAAAAAUAAUUGUAAAAAAUAUAUAACGACAGAAACACAUUAUAAAACAAACCUCAGGGAAGUAUUUAUAAUUAUUUUUUUCUAAAAAAACUCAAUAAAAUUUAGUAAUAUAUUUAACAAAAUAUACAUAUAAAAAUGUCAUUUCCCAGUACCAUUUGAACAAUUCAAACAUAAAUAUCAUAGAAAGAAAACUUCAAAUUCUUUUUGUCCACUUAAUGUAAAAAAAGAAAAAGAAAAAAAAGAUUAUAUUCCAUCCCUGUCAAUUCUAAAGCACAUACAUUUGGGUUAUUCCUGAGAUAAAGAAUUUGAGGAUAGGAAAUAUUCUUUUUAGAUCCUUGUUCAAUUGUUUUUCUUCCAUUAUUCCUUGCAAGCAACUCAUUGCACCUUCUCCAUUUUAAAGUAUUCUUUAAUAUUUAUGUUGUACAGCUUGCUAAUCAGACUAAAUCAACCAUAUAUGAAAUCUUGGAUUAUAUUGAUUCUGAUACUUCAUUCAAUCGCUUAAUUCUUACUCCUCAUUUUCUUUUUUUAAGUUUUCUUUAGAUAGGACACAUUGUGAGUUGCUCAAUAAUAGAUGGAGGCUUGUAUUAUUCUUCUUGGACUUUCCACUUUUCAAAGAAUGUACAGAAAGAAUUAAGCACUAUUAAAGAGAGAUAUCUGACAGCCACUAACACCCCAGAAGAAUUCAAUCAGAACUUCAGACGUAAUUGUUUACCUAAUUACCGUAGAGGUAAAGAUCAUAAUGUGUGUAUGUUUGUAUGUGUGUGUAUAUAUAUAUAUAAAAGCAAACUGAAGCCACGUUUGAAUAGUGAGUUGUUGCAGGAAUGGAAAUGGCUGGUAGGAGAAAGACAGAAGUAAGAUUUUGUGACAGAAAAAUGCUUGAUUUUAUUGCUAACAAUCUGAGUGCACAAACUACAAGAAGCUCCAAGAAACAAUUCCUCACAAUAAAUAGAGAAAGCCCCAAUCAAACAAAGGCUGUACCCUAUAAUUACACUGAUUAACAAAUUUGAGAUGAAUAAAUAAAAAACAAUAAUUUAAAAACGGACAUUUCUAAGUCCAAUCCUCCAUCUCUCUCUAAUCUCACUUCCAAAUUUUGAUUUGGAGAAGUAAAUUGUUUAAGCCAUUCCUACUUGAACAAAACAAGAUCAUGAGGUGCAAAAUGGCCAUCUUAGAAAUUGAUGCAGUCUGGCCUGAAUUAUUGAUGUUAUAGCUCAUUGAUGCAAAAUUCAGAUCCUUAUUGAAUGAACUUGGACAAGAAGCUUGAUAUUCACAUCUUUCACUCUUGGAGCUUUCGUUUAUUACUUUGUUGAAACUAAAAUCUGUAAAAUGAUAAUGAGCACAAAUGAGAUUUUAUACAUUAAGAUAAACUGUAUGAUCUAUACACUUUGUAAUAAAA
Molecule: long non-coding RNA, 41598 nt
Filed under: Ricinus communis (castor bean)
Lineage: Eukaryota; Viridiplantae; Streptophyta; Magnoliopsida; Malpighiales; Euphorbiaceae
Description: long non-coding RNA (RCOM_LNC002870)
Source: RNAcentral